Molecule: ribosomal RNA, 359 nt
Filed under: unidentified
Description: Nervijuncta sp. NB-2020 partial 12S ribosomal RNA
Source: RNAcentral
UUUAAAAUUAAUUUUUAAUACUAAAUUAUUUUAAGUUAAAUUCUUUAAAAUUAAAAAAUUUGGCGGUUUUUUAUUCUAUUUAGAGGAAUUUGUUUUUUAAUUGAUAUUACUCAUUUUAUCUUACUUAAGUUUGUUUUUCAUUUUAUAUACCGUUGUUAUAAGAAAAUAUUAUUUAAUUUUAAAAUUUUCUAAAAAUUUAAUUAAAUUAUUAUAUCAAAUCAAGGUGUAAAUUAUACUUAAGAAAAAAUUAAUUACAAUAAAAUUAUUUAUAUGAAUUUAAAAUUGAAAAAUUUUUUUGAAGGUGGAUUUAAAUGUAAAUUUAAAAAUUAAAUUAAAUUGAUAACAGUUUUAAAGAAUGU